ACGUACUUGUACUGAUUGAGAUUUUAACACGAAGUGAGUGGCGAACGGGUGAGUAACACGUGGGUAACCUGCCCAGAAGUAGGGGAUAACACCUGGAAACAGAUGCUAAUACCGUAUAACAGAGAAAACCGCAUGGUUUUCUUUUAAAAGAUGGCUCUGCUAUCACUUCUGGAUGGACCCGCGGCGUAUUAGCUAGUUGGUGAGGUAAAGGCUCACCAAGGCAGUGAUACGUAGCCGACCUGAGAGGGUAAUCGGCCACAUUGGGACUGAGACACGGCCCAGACUCCUACGGGAGGCAGCAGUAGGGAAUCUUCCACAAUGGACGCAAGUCUGAUGGAGCAACGCCGCGUGAGUGAAGAAGGGUUUCGGCUCGUAAAGCUCUGUUGUUAAAGAAGAACGUGGGUAAGAGUAACUGUUUACCCAGUGACGGUAUUUAACCAGAAAGCCACGGCUAACUACGUGCCAGCAGCCGCGGUAAUACGUAGGUGGCAAGCGUUAUCCGGAUUUAUUGGGCGUAAAGCGAGCGCAGGC
RNAcentral lists this ribosomal RNA (531 nucleotides) under Pediococcus pentosaceus. Its description in RNAcentral is "bacterial SSU rRNA". It matches the Rfam family "Bacterial small subunit ribosomal RNA", at positions 66 to 576 of the family's 1533-position model. Lineage: Bacteria; Bacillati; Bacillota; Bacilli; Lactobacillales; Lactobacillaceae. The record is from RNAcentral.